AUUGAACGCUGGCGGCAGGCCUAACACAUGCAAGUCGAGCGGUAACACAGGGAGCUUGCUCCUGGGUGACGAGCGGCGGACGGGUGAGUAAUGUCUGGGAAACUGCCUGAUGGAGGGGGAUAACUACUGGAAACGGUAGCUAAUACCGCAUAACGUCGCAAGACCAAAGAGGGGGACCUUCGGGCCUCUUGCCAUCAGAUGUGCCCAGAUGGGAUUAGCUAGUAGGUGGGGUAACGGCUCACCUAGGCGACGAUCCCUAGCUGGUCUGAGAGGAUGACCAGCCACACGGGAAAUGAGGAACGGUCCAGACUCCUAGGGGAGGCAGCAGUGGGGAAUAUUGCACAAGGGGCGCAAGCCUGAUGCAGCCAGGCCGCGUGUAUGAAGAAGGCCUUCGGGUUGUAAAGUACUUUCAGCGGGGAGGAAGGCGAUAAGGUUAAUAACCUUGUCGAUUGACGUUACCCGCAGAAGAAGCACCGGCUAACUCCGUGCCAGCCGCCGCCGUAA
RNAcentral lists this ribosomal RNA (504 nucleotides) under uncultured bacterium. RNAcentral's name for it is "partial 16S ribosomal RNA". It matches the Rfam family "Bacterial small subunit ribosomal RNA", at positions 29 to 523 of the family's 1533-position model. The record is from RNAcentral.